GAUGAACGCUGGCGGCGUGCCUAAUACAUGCAAGUCGAGCGAACAGACGAGGAGCUUGCUCCUCUGGCGUUAGCGGCGGACGGGUGAGUAACACGUGGAUAACCUACCUAUAAGACUGGGAUAACUUCGGGAAACCGGAGCUAAUACCGGAUAAUAUAUUGAACCGCAUGGUUCAAUAGUGAAAGACGGUUUUGCUGUCACUUAUAGAUGGAUCCGCGCCGCAUUAGCUAGUUGGUAAGGUAACGGCUUACCAAGGCAACGAUGCGUAGCCGACCUGAGAGGGUGAUCGGCCACACUGGAACUGAGACACGGUCCAGACUCCUACGGGAGGCAGCAGUAGGGAAUCUUCCGCAAUGGGCGAAAGCCUGACGGAGCAACGCCGCGUGAGUGAUGAAGGUCUUCGGAUCGUAAAACUCUGUUAUUAGGGAAGAGCAAAUGUGUAAGUAACGAUGCACGUCUUGACGGUACCUAAUCAGAAAGCCACGGCUAACUACGUGC
Molecule: ribosomal RNA, 498 nt
Filed under: uncultured bacterium
Lineage: Bacteria
Description: partial 16S ribosomal RNA
Rfam family: Bacterial small subunit ribosomal RNA
Source: RNAcentral